Molecule: ribosomal RNA, 464 nt
Filed under: uncultured bacterium
Lineage: Bacteria
Description: partial 16S ribosomal RNA
Rfam family: Bacterial small subunit ribosomal RNA
Source: RNAcentral
CUACGGGUGGCUCCAGUGGGGAAUAUUGCACAAUGGGGGAAACCCUGAUGCAGCCAUGCCGCGUGUAUGAAGAAGGCCUUCGGGUUGUAAAGUACUUUCAGCAGUGAGGAAGGGUGAUAAAUUAAUACUUUAUCAUUUUGACGUUAGCUGCAGAAGAAGCACCGGCUAACUCCGUGCCAGCAGCCGCGGUAAUACGGAGGGUGCGAGCGUUAAUCGGAAUUACUGGGCGUAAAGCGCAUGCAGGUGGUCUGUUAAGUCAGAUGUGAAAGCCCGGGGCUUAACCUCGGAAUCGCAUUUGAAACUGGCAGGCUAGAAUACUGUAGAGGGGGGUAGAAUUUCAGGUGUAGCGGUGAAAUGCGUAGAGAUCUGAAGGAAUACCGGUGGCGAAGGCGGCCCCCUGGACAGAUACUGACACUCAGAUGCGAAAGCGUGGGGAGCAAACAGGAUUAGAUACCCUAGUAGUC